This 708-nucleotide unclassified non-coding RNA is filed under the name Nasikabatrachus sahyadrensis (pig-nosed frog). RNAcentral's name for it is "partial contains 12S ribosomal RNA, tRNA-Val and 16S ribosomal RNA". The stretch from base 1 to 486 matches the Rfam family "Bacterial small subunit ribosomal RNA", at positions 855 to 1533 of the family's 1533-position model. Lineage: Eukaryota; Metazoa; Chordata; Amphibia; Anura; Nasikabatrachidae. The record is from RNAcentral.
CUACAUCAACAACCGCCAGGACAUUACGAGCCAAGCUUAAAACCCAAAGGACUUGACGGCGCCCCAAAUCCCUCUAGAGGAGCCUGUUCUAUAAUCGAUAACACCCGUUAUACCUCACCACCCCUUGCCACAUUCAGCCUGUAUACCUCCGUCGCCAGCUCACCACAUGAGCGAACAUUAGUGAACUCAAUGGCCCCCGCCAAUACGUCAGGUCAAGGUGCAGCAUAUGUUGUGGGCAGAAAUGGGCUACACUUCCUACCCCCCUAGGAUACACAGAUGACCUAAUGAAACCUGGUCAGAAGGCGGAUUUAGCAGUAAAAGAGAGAUAGAGCACCUCUUUUAACUCGGCCCUGGGGCAUGUACACACCGCCCGUCACCCUCUUCGAGUACAUAUAUAUACGAUAAUUAACAUCUUUUUUUCCCCCUAGAAGAGGUAAGUCGUAACAAGGUAGGUGUAUCGGAAGAUGCACCUGGAACAACAAAGUGUAGCUUAAAUUAAAGCAACUUGCUUACACCAAGUCGAUGCCUGAUAACCCAGACCACUUUGCGCCUAACACUUAGCCCCCCCCCCCCCCCGUUUCUGUAAACCUAAAGCAUUCUAACCUUCUAGUAGAGGCGAUCGAAAAAUACCCUGGAGCUAUAACACGCGUACCGCAAGGGAAAAGUGAAAUAAUAAUGAAACAUCAAAAAGCACUAAAUAGCAGAGAC